Molecule: long non-coding RNA, 98 nt
Organism: Trachymyrmex septentrionalis
Lineage: Eukaryota; Metazoa; Arthropoda; Insecta; Hymenoptera; Formicidae
Exons: 3
Source: RefSeq, a predicted model, not a curated record
UAAGAAGCGUUUUUUUUUUUUUUUCUUCCCUGAUUGGAGUAUACUUUUAGAUCUAGAGAAAUAGUCUUGUUUCAGCGAAGAAAACUUGCAACAGUUGC